AGCGGCAGACGGGUGAGUAACGCGUGGGAACGUACCUUUUGGUUCGGAACAACACAGGGAAACUUGUGCUAAUACCGGAUAAGCCCUUACGGGGAAAGAUUUAUCGCCGAAAGAUCGGCCCGCGUCUGAUUAGCUAGUUGGUGAGGUAAUGGCUCACCAAGGCGACGAUCAGUAGCUGGUCUGAGAGGAUGAUCAGCCACAUUGGGACUGAGACACGGCCCAAACUCCUACGGGAGGCAGCAGUGGGGAAUAUUGGACAAUGGGGGCAACCCUGAUCCAGCCAUGCCGCGUGAGUGAUGAAGGCCCUAGGGUUGUAAAGCUCUUUUGUGCGGGAAGAUAAUGACGGUACCGCAAGAAUAAGCCCCGGCUAACUUCGUGCCAGCAGCCGCGGUAAUACGAAGGGGGCUAGCGUUGCUCGGAAUCACUGGGCGUAAAGGGUGCGUAGGCGGGUCUUUAAGUCAGGGGUGAAAUCCUGGAGCUCAACUCCAGAACUGCCUUUGAUACUGAGGAUCUUGAGUUCGGGAGAGGUGAGUGGAACUGCGAGUGUAGAGGUGAAAUUCGUAGAUAUUCGCAAGAACACCAGUGGCGAAGGCGGCUCACUGGCCCGAUACUGACGCUGAGGCACGAAAGCGUGGGGAGCAAACAGGAUUAGAUACCCUGGUAGUCCACGCCGUAACGAUGAAUGCCAGCCGUUAGUGGGUUUACUCACUAGUGGCGCAGCUAACGCUUUAAGCAUUCCGCCUGGGGAGUACGGUCGCAAGAUUAAAACUCAAAGGAAUUGACGGGGGNCCGCACAAGCGGUGGAGCAUGUGGUUUAAUUCGNCGCAACGCGCAGAACCUUACCAGCCCUUGACAUGUCCAGGACCGGUCGCAGAGAUGUGACCUUCUCUUCGGAGCCUGGAGCACAGGUGCUGCAUGGCUGUCGUCAGCUCGUGUCGUGAGAUGUUGGGUUAAGUCCCGCAACGAGCGCAACCCCCGUCCUUAGUUGCUACCAUUUAGUUGAGCACUCUAAGGAGACUGCCGGUGAUAAGCCGCGAGGAAGGUGGGGAUGACGUCAAGUCCUCAUGGCCCUUACGGGCUGGGCUACACACGUGCUACAAUGGCGGUGACAAUGGGAUGCUAAGGGGCGACCCUUCGCAAAUCUCAAAAAGCCGUCUCAGUUCGGAUUGGGCUCUGCAACUCGAGCCCAUGAAGUUGGAAUCGCUAGUAAUCGUGGAUCAGCACGCCACGGUGAAUACGUUCCCGGGCCUUGUACACACCGCCCGUCACACCAUGGGAGUUGGUUUUACCUGAAGACGGUGCGCUUANUCGCAAGGGAGGCAGCCG
Molecule: ribosomal RNA, 1326 nt
Filed under: Bradyrhizobium japonicum
Lineage: Bacteria; Pseudomonadati; Pseudomonadota; Alphaproteobacteria; Hyphomicrobiales; Nitrobacteraceae
Description: 16S ribosomal RNA
Rfam family: Bacterial small subunit ribosomal RNA
Source: RNAcentral